Molecule: ribosomal RNA, 253 nt
Filed under: uncultured bacterium
Lineage: Bacteria
Description: partial 16S ribosomal RNA
Rfam family: Bacterial small subunit ribosomal RNA
Source: RNAcentral
UACGGAGGGUGCGAGCGUUGUCCGGAAUCAUUGGGCGUAAAGGGCGCGUAGGUGGCCCGGUCAGCGUGCGGUGAAAGCUCGGGGCUCAACCCCGAGUCGGCCGUGCGAACUGCUGGGCUGGAGCACUGUAGAGGCAGGCGGAAUUCCGGGUGUAGCGGUGGAAUGCGUAGAGAUCCGGAAGAACACUGGUGGCGAAGGCGGCCUGCUGGGCAGUGGCUGACACUGAGGCGCGACAGCGUGGGGAGCAAACAGG